This 291-nucleotide unclassified non-coding RNA is filed under the name uncultured Sphingomonadaceae bacterium. Its description in RNAcentral is "contains 16S-23S intergenic spacer region". Lineage: Bacteria; Pseudomonadati; Pseudomonadota; Alphaproteobacteria; Sphingomonadales; Sphingomonadaceae. The record is from RNAcentral.
UCCGGCUUGACGCCGGCAGUCCCCCGACAGCCAUGCAGCACCUGUGUGUAGGUCCCGUAAGGGAAGGAAUCCAUCUCUGGAAACCGUCCUACCAUGUCAAACGCUGGUAAGGUUCUGCGCGUUGCUUCGAAUUAAACCACAUGCUCCACCGCUUGUGCAGGCCCCCGUCAAUUUCUUUGAGUUUUAACCUUGCGGCCGUACUCCCCAGGCGGAUGACUUAACGCGUUAGCUGCGCCACCGAAACGCCAAGCGCCCCGACAGCUAGUCAUCAUCGUUUACGGCGUGGACUAC